Molecule: long non-coding RNA, 282 nt
Organism: Clupea harengus (Atlantic herring)
Lineage: Eukaryota; Metazoa; Chordata; Actinopteri; Clupeiformes; Clupeidae
Source: Ensembl
ACUGAAGAGAAAAGUGCUUUGGAGCAAAGAGAAUAAAGAACCUUUUAUCCAUGUGGGCUCUCCCCAACCCCCCUAGCUGCCAGCCUACAGCCCAGCCAGGCAACAUGUGGGGGAGUUCCCAGCUAUCUGACAGAGGGAGAAUAGAUGGGAAGAGAAAGAUCCAUUGUAUCCAUGCAUCUUUGUUUCUAAUCCCUGGGCUGUAUUCAGAGGGUACAAUAUUGAUCAAAUGAUCCUUAGAGGUCCAAACAGAUAUGCUGACUCAGCAGCCAAUAUUUGUCAUUG